UGAAAAUCGGACUUAGUGAUCCGGUGGUUCUGCGUGGAAGGGCCAUCGCUCAACGGAUAAAAGCUACCCUGGGGAUAACAGGCUUAUCUCCCCCAAGAGUCCACAUCGACGGGGAGGUUUGGCACCUCGAUGUCGGCUCAUCACAUCCUGGGGCGGUAGUAGGUCCCAAGGGUUGGGCUGUUCGCCCAUUAAAGUGGUACGCGAGCUGGGUUCAGAACGUCGUGAGACAGUUCGGUCCCUAUCCGUCGCAGGCGUAGGAAAUUUGAGAAGACCUGUCCUUAGUACGAGAGGGCCGGGAUGGACGUACCUCUGGUGUACCAGUUGUUCUGCCAAGGGCAUGGCUGGGUAGCUAUGUACGGAAUGGAUAAGCGCUGAAAGCAUCUAAGCGCGAAGCCAACUUCAAGAUAAGAUUUCCCACCG
This 420-nucleotide ribosomal RNA is filed under the name Clostridioides difficile. RNAcentral's name for it is "partial 23S ribosomal RNA". It matches the Rfam family "Bacterial large subunit ribosomal RNA", at positions 2400 to 2819 of the family's 2925-position model. The record is from RNAcentral. Lineage: Bacteria; Bacillati; Bacillota; Clostridia; Peptostreptococcales; Peptostreptococcaceae.